UGCGUCGAUAAUCCUCAAUGCUGAGGAUGC
RNAcentral lists this small RNA (30 nucleotides) under Bombyx mori (domestic silkworm). RNAcentral describes it as "ovarian small RNA-34007". Lineage: Eukaryota; Metazoa; Arthropoda; Insecta; Lepidoptera; Bombycidae. The record is from RNAcentral.